Molecule: ribosomal RNA, 232 nt
Filed under: uncultured Bacillus sp.
Lineage: Bacteria; Bacillati; Bacillota; Bacilli; Caryophanales; Bacillaceae
Description: partial 16S ribosomal RNA
Rfam family: Bacterial small subunit ribosomal RNA
Source: RNAcentral
UAGGGAAUCUUCCGCAAUGGACGAAAGUCUGACGGAGCAACGCCGCGUGAGUGAUGAAGGUUUUCGGAUCGUAAAACUCUGUUGUUAGGGAAGAACAAGUGCCGUUCGAAUAGGGCGGCACCUUGACGGUACCUAACCAGAAAGCCACGGCUAACUACGUGCCAGCAGCCGCGGUAAUACGUAGGUGGCAAGCGUUGUCCGGAAUUAUUGGGCGUAAAGCGCGCGCAGGCGG